UGACGGAGCAAGACCGCGUGAGGGAGGAAGGCUCUUGGGUUGUAAACCUCUUUUCUCAGGGAAGAAGCUCUGACGGUACCUGAGGAAUCAGCCUCGGCUAACUCCGUGCCAGCAGCCGCGGUAAUACGGAGGAGGCAAGCGUUAUCCGGAAUUAUUGGGCGUAAAGCGUCCGCAGGUGGCGAUUCAAGUCUGCUGUCAAAGCACGGGGCUUAACUCCGUUAAGGCAGUGGAAACUGAAUAGCUAGAGUGCCGUAGGGGUAGAGGGAAUUCCCGGUGUAGCGGUGAAAUGCGUAGAGAUCGGGAAGAACAUCGGUGGCGAAAGCGCUCUACUGGACGGCAACUGACACUCAGGGACGAAAGCUAGGGGAGCGAAUGGGAUUAGAUACCCCAGUAGUCA
RNAcentral lists this ribosomal RNA (397 nucleotides) under uncultured Microcoleus sp. Its description in RNAcentral is "bacterial SSU rRNA". It matches the Rfam family "Bacterial small subunit ribosomal RNA", at positions 384 to 796 of the family's 1533-position model. Lineage: Bacteria; Bacillati; Cyanobacteriota; Cyanophyceae; Oscillatoriales; Microcoleaceae. The record is from RNAcentral.